GAAUUGUGCGAUCUCUGCUAAGUUGCCGUGUCCGCACACGCGUGUUACGCACACGUGUGCCGCGUGCGUUCAUGGUCGUCUUUGCCACCUCGCCUCUCUCUUUUCUAAGUGUCAGGCCGACUUUCCUUUUCUCAUCGUCAGAGGUGUGCACCACCUCGCUCUUGUCUCACUUCCUUCCGCAAGCCUCUCCUUGCCCCGCCUCUCUGUAUCCGCAUGUCUGCCGCGGUGACAUGGCUGCAGAAUAGUCUCGGCAUCGACGUGACAGGUGAGUGGGCUCGCCACGUUCAUCUCAACGUCGGUGGCACCCUUUACACGACACGCCGGUACACGCUACGGGAACUCAAAGACCAUCGCAUCUUUGGCCCCAUCCUGGAUGGCCACGCGCAUCGCUGCGAGGAUGGCAGUUUCCUGAUCGAUCGUGACGGCUCCUUGUUCCGCUACAUCAUUGCCUACCUCCGCGAUGGUCGCCUCUCCGUCCCGGACAACUUCGUGGAGUGGGAUAUGUUGCUUCAGGAGGUGCGCUACUAUGAGCUCCCGGCAAUGGAGAAAAGCGUCAUGGACCGCUUUGAGUUCCAGCAGAGCGUCUUCCGUCGCCAGCUGCCACACGGGGUGUACGUGUGGUGGCCGCCGGCGUCAUCGCAUAUCGAAGAAGGGGCAACAGUCAAGGCAGCUCCGUGUGAUUGUCCUGCAUCCGCGCCUACUCCACCCACUUCGCUUUUCGCCUUGUCGAUCACAGAUAGAGCGACAGGGAGGGGCGAAGCACGCGGUGCCACUGAGGACCAGACUCGCGCACUGGAGAAGGAGCAUGCCGAGGCGGCCGCUGAUGCUGCAACUCGGAGUAGUGCCGGUGUUGCGCCGUCUUCAUGCUCAUCAGCUUCCUUGCCUAUCCGCAUUGUGCCGCCGUUGCCUGGGCUGACGGUGGAGGCGGCGUCUGGGCGGCGGGUGGUGUUCCGUGAGACGCAGGUCCUCGAGGACCUCGACCAGCUCGUGACAGUGCUGCUCACGGCCUAUGGCUUUUCGAUCCAGCACUGGGACGCUGAACGAGGGCGCGUGCUUCUCACGCUGCCUGGGCUCAUGUAAUGGAUGCAAUAGAAGGAGCGAAAGGAAACAGGGGCGAUCCUGUUCCGUUGACACGAACGCCAACAUUGACACCCGCGACAACUCACAGAAAGCUUCACAUCUCGACACACGGUGUGCCUUUAAUUUCGCCUCCUUGUCUUCCAGUCUCGGGCAGAGCGAGGCGGAGC
This 1247-nucleotide unclassified non-coding RNA is filed under the name Leishmania donovani. RNAcentral's name for it is "gene:LdHU3.18.0610(CDS-product:BTB/POZ_domain_con taining_protein_putative)". The record is from RNAcentral. Lineage: Eukaryota; Euglenozoa; Kinetoplastea; Trypanosomatida; Trypanosomatidae.